UGGGGAAUAUUGGACAAUGGGGGCAACCCUGAUCCAGCCAUGCCGCGUGAGUGAUGAAGGCCUUCGGGUUGUAAAGCUCUUUUGUGAGGGAAGAUGAUGACGGUACCUCAAGAAUAAGCCCCGGCUAACUUCGUGCCAGCAGCCGCGGUAAUACGAAGGGGGCUAGCGUUGUUCGGAAUUACUGGGCGUAAAGGGCGCGUAGGCGGUUCUAUAAGUCAGGAGUGAAAUCCCCAGGCUCAACCUGGGAAUUGCUUUUGAGACUAUAGGGCUUGAGUGCGAGAGAGGUGAGUGGAAUUCCCAGUGUAGAGGUAAAAUUCGUAGAUAUUGGGAGGAACACCAGUGGCGAAGGCGGCUCACUGGCUCGUAACUGACGCUGAGGCGCGAAAGCGUGGGGAGCAAACAG
This 403-nucleotide ribosomal RNA is filed under the name uncultured bacterium. RNAcentral's name for it is "bacterial SSU rRNA". It matches the Rfam family "Bacterial small subunit ribosomal RNA", at positions 355 to 775 of the family's 1533-position model. The record is from RNAcentral.